RNAcentral lists this long non-coding RNA (352 nucleotides) under Cucumis sativus (cucumber). RNAcentral describes it as "long non-coding RNA (CSAT_LNC001412)". Lineage: Eukaryota; Viridiplantae; Streptophyta; Magnoliopsida; Cucurbitales; Cucurbitaceae. The record is from RNAcentral.
UGAAGGCAUUAAAAUCAGACCCCUUUGACUUGAAACUAUUCCACCCAUUAUCAAACACAUUGAGUGCAUUCUUUUCAUACCCAGUUGAACUCAAAUUCAUACUAUUGCUGGUAUUACUCCAGUUAUUAAGAUCAGAAGCAACACUCGGCUUAAAACUAUUCCAUCCAUCAUUGAACCGAUUAACAUCAGAAUCAGAGACUUUAGGCUUAAAAUUAUUCAAAGAAUUUACCUCUCCACCAUUCCUUACAUCGAAAUUCCUCCUCUCCUCAGGCCUCUUCGAGACAUACGAAUUGCUCCAGAUAGAAUCGUUAAGCGAUAGGUUGGCGAGAUUCCCAGUUUGCACCCGAAGCUG